Molecule: ribosomal RNA, 173 nt
Filed under: uncultured bacterium
Lineage: Bacteria
Description: partial 16S ribosomal RNA
Rfam family: Bacterial small subunit ribosomal RNA
Source: RNAcentral
ACUCCUACGGGAGGCAGCAGUGGGGAAUCUUAGACAAUGGGGGAAACCCUGAUCUAGCCAUGCCGCGUGAGUGAUGAAGGCCUUAGGGGUGUAAAGCUCUUUCAGUGGGGAAGAUAAUGACGGUACCCACAGAAGAAGCCCCGGCUAACUCCGUGCCAGCAGCCGCGGUAAUA